UACGUAGGGGGCAAGCGUUGUCCGGAUUUAUUGGGCGUAAAGAGCGUGUAGGCGGCCAGGUAGGUCCGUUGUGAAAACUCGAGGCUCAACCUCGAGACGCCGAUGGAAACCAUCUGGCUAGAGUCCGGAAGAGGAGAGUGGAAUUCCUGGUGUAGCGGUGAAAUGCGCAGAUAUCGGGAAGAACACCCGUGGCGAAGGCGGUUCUCUGGGACGGUACCGACGCUGAGACGCGAAAGCGUGGGGAGCGAACAGG
This 253-nucleotide ribosomal RNA is filed under the name uncultured bacterium. Its description in RNAcentral is "partial 16S ribosomal RNA". It matches the Rfam family "Bacterial small subunit ribosomal RNA", at positions 524 to 776 of the family's 1533-position model. The record is from RNAcentral.